CGGGUGAGUAAUGUCUGGGAAACUGCCUGAUGGAGGGGGAUAACUGCUGGAAACGGUAGCUAAUACCGCAUAACGUCGCAAGACCAAAGAGGGGGACCUUCGGACCUCUUGCCAUCGGAUGUGCCCAGAUGGGAUUAGCUAGUAGGUGGGGUAACGGCUCACCUAGGCGACGAUCCCUAGCUGGUCUGAGAGGAUGACCAGCCACACUGGAACUGAGACACGGUCCAG
RNAcentral lists this ribosomal RNA (228 nucleotides) under uncultured bacterium. Its description in RNAcentral is "partial 16S ribosomal RNA". It matches the Rfam family "Bacterial small subunit ribosomal RNA", at positions 103 to 334 of the family's 1533-position model. The record is from RNAcentral.